Molecule: ribosomal RNA, 373 nt
Filed under: uncultured marine bacterium
Lineage: Bacteria
Description: bacterial SSU rRNA
Rfam family: Bacterial small subunit ribosomal RNA
Source: RNAcentral
UCGAGAUGAUAAUGACAGUAUCAGGUAAAGAAACCCCGGCUAACUCCGUGCCAGCAGCCGCGGUAAUACGGAGGGGGUUAGCGUUGUUCGGAAUUACUGGGCGUAAAGCGCACGUGGGCGGAUCACAAAGUAUAGGGUGAAAUCCCAUGGCUCAACCCUGGAACUGCCUUGUAAACUCCUGGUCUUGAGUUCGAGAGAGGUGAGUGGAAUUCCGAGUGUAAAGGUGAAAUUCGUAGAUAUUCGGAGGAACACCAGUGGCGAAGGCGGCUCACUGGCUCGAUACUGACGCUGAGGUGCGAAAGUGUGGGGAGCAAACAGGAUUAGAUACCCUGGUAGUCCACACCGUAAACGAUGAAUGCCAGACGUCAGCAAG